AGCGUACACGGUGGAUGCCCUGGCAGUCAGAGGCGAUGAAGGACGUGCUAAUCUGCGAUAAGCGUCGGUAAGGUGAUAUGAACCGUUAUAACCGGCGAUUUCCGAAUGGGGAAACCCAGUGUGUUUCGACACACUAUCAUUAACUGAAUCCAUAGGUUAAUGAGGCGAACCGGGGGAACUGAAACAUCUAAGUACCCCGAGGAAAAGAAAUCAACCGAGAUUCCCCCAGUAGCGGCGAGCGAACGGGGAGGAGCCCAGAGCCUGAAUCAGUGUGUGUGUUAGUGGAAGCGUCUGGAAAGGCGCGCGAUACAGGGUGACAGCCCCGUACACAAAAAUGCACAUAUUGUGAGCUCGAUGAGUAGGGCGGGACACGUGGUAUCCUGUCUGAAUAUGGGGGGACCAUCCUCCAAGGCUAAAUACUCCUGACUGACCGAUAGUGAACCAGUACCGUGAGGGAAAGGCGAAAAGAACCCCGGCGAGGGGAGUGAAAAAGAACCUGAAACCGUGUACGUACAAGCAGUGGGAGCCUCUUUUAUGGGGUGACUGCGUACCUUUUGUAUAAUGGGUCAGCGACUUAUAUUCUGUAGCAAGGUUAACCGAAUAGGGGAGCCGAAGGGAAACCGAGUCUUAACUGGGCGUUAAGUUGCAGGGUAUAGACCCGAAACCCGGUGAUCUAGCCAUGGGCAGGUUGAAGGUUGGGUAACACUAACUGGAGGACCGAACCGACUAAUGUUGAAAAAUUAGCGGAUGACUUGUGGCUGGGGGUGAAAGGCCAAUCAAACCGGGAGAUAGCUGGUUCUCCCCGAAAGCUAUUUAGGUAGCGCCUCGUGAACUCAUCUCCGGGGGUAGAGCACUGUUUCGGCAAGGGGGUCAUCCCGACUUACCAACCCGAUGCAAACUGCGAAUACCGGAGAAUGUUAUCACGGGAGACACACGGCGGGUGCUAACGUCCGUCGUGAAGAGGGAAACAACCCAGACCGCCAGCUAAGGUCCCAAAGUCAUGGUUAAGUGGGAAACGAUGUGGGAAGGCCCAGACAGCCAGGAUGUUGGCUUAGAAGCAGCCAUCAUUUAAAGAAAGCGUAAUAGCUCACUGGUCGAGUCGGCCUGCGCGGAAGAUGUAACGGGGCUAAACCAUGCACCGAAGCUGCGGCAGCGACACUAUGUGUUGUUGGGUAGGGGAGCGUUCUGUAAGCCUGUGAAGGUGUACUGUGAGGUAUGCUGGAGGUAUCAGAAGUGCGAAUGCUGACAUAAGUAACGAUAAAGCGGGUGAAAAGCCCGCUCGCCGGAAGACCAAGGGUUCCUGUCCAACGUUAAUCGGGGCAGGGUGAGUCGACCCCUAAGGCGAGGCCGAAAGGCGUAGUCGAUGGGAAACAGGUUAAUAUUCCUGUACUUGGUGUUACUGCGAAGGGGGGACGGAGAAGGCUAUGUUGGCCGGGCGACGGUUGUCCCGGUUUAAGCGUGUAGGCUGGUUUUCCAGGCAAAUCCGGAAAAUCAAGGCUGAGGCGUGAUGACGAGGCACUACGGUGCUGAAGCAACAAAUGCCCUGCUUCCAGGAAAAGCCUCUAAGCAUCAGGUAACAUCAAAUCGUACCCCAAACCGACACAGGUGGUCAGGUAGAGAAUACCAAGGCGCUUGAGAGAACUCGGGUGAAGGAACUAGGCAAAAUGGUGCCGUAACUUCGGGAGAAGGCACGCUGAUAUGUAGGUGAAGUCCCUCGCGGAUGGAGCUGAAAUCAGUCGAAGAUACCAGCUGGCUGCAACUGUUUAUUAAAAACACAGCACUGUGCAAACACGAAAGUGGACGUAUACGGUGUGACGCCUGCCCGGUGCCGGAAGGUUAAUUGAUGGGGUCAGCGCAAGCGAAGCUCUUGAUCGAAGCCCCGGUAAACGGCGGCCGUAACUAUAACGGUCCUAAGGUAGCGAAAUUCCUUGUCGGGUAAGUUCCGACCUGCACGAAUGGCGUAAUGAUGGCCAGGCUGUCUCCACCCGAGACUCAGUGAAAUUGAACUCGCUGUGAAGAUGCAGUGUACCCGCGGCAAGACGGAAAGACCCCGUGAACCUUUACUAUAGCUUGACACUGAACAUUGAGCCUUGAUGUGUAGGAUAGGUGGGAGGCUUAGAAGUGUGGACGCCAGUCUGCAUGGAGCCGACCUUGAAAUACCACCCUUUAAUGUUUGAUGUUCUAACGUUGACCCGUGAUCCGGGUUGCGGACAGUGUCUGGUGGGUAGUUUGACUGGGGCGGUCUCCUCCUAAAGAGUAACGGAGGAGCACGAAGGUUGGCUAAUCCUGGUCGGACAUCAGGAGGUUAGUGCAAUGGCAUAAGCCAGCUUGACUGCGAGCGUGACGGCGCGAGCAGGUGCGAAAGCAGGUCAUAGUGAUCCGGUGGUUCUGAAUGGAAGGGCCAUCGCUCAACGGAUAAAAGGUACUCCGGGGAUAACAGGCUGAUACCGCCCAAGAGUUCAUAUCGACGGCGGUGUUUGGCACCUCGAUGUCGGCUCAUCACAUCCUGGGGCUGAAGUAGGUCCCAAGGGUAUGGCUGUUCGCCAUUUAAAGUGGUACGCGAGCUGGGUUUAGAACGUCGUGAGACAGUUCGGUCCCUAUCUGCCGUGGGCGCUGGAGAACUGAGGGGGGCUGCUCCUAGUACGAGAGGACCGGAGUGGACGCAUCACUGGUGUUCGGGUUGUCAUGCCAAUGGCACUGCCCGGUAGCUAAAUGCGGAAGAGAUAAGUGCUGAAAGCAUCUAAGCACGAAACUUGCCCCGAGAUGAGUUCU
RNAcentral lists this ribosomal RNA (2772 nucleotides) under Escherichia coli. RNAcentral describes it as "bacterial LSU rRNA". It matches the Rfam family "Bacterial large subunit ribosomal RNA". The record is from RNAcentral. Lineage: Bacteria; Pseudomonadati; Pseudomonadota; Gammaproteobacteria; Enterobacterales; Enterobacteriaceae.